AGCAAAGUUCCAGGGCAGAGCCUUCCCUCCCAGAGCCCGGCGAUGCAGUCGCUCUCGGAUACCUGCUCAGCUCCGCACCGCAACUGAAAGAUCUGCCGCCGCGGAACAGUUGCGUCUCCAUCUGGCUACCAACCCACCCAAGCUUUCUUCUCCACCACCACCACCUUCUUUCUUCCCCCUCCUCCCCCUCCUUUCCGUCUUCCCUCUCCACCCCCGCCCCCAAUCUCCUCCUUUUUUUCUCACUACGAGCGGUUGCUGAUGCUGAAGCCGAGCGUCACUUCGGCUCCCACGGCAGACAUGGCGACAUUGACAGUGGUCCAGCCGCUCACCCUGGACAGAGAUGUUGCAAGAGCAAUUGAAUUACUGGAAAAACUACAGGAAUCUGGAGAAGUACCAGUGCACAAGCUACAAUCCCUCAAAAAAGUGCUUCAGAGUGAGUUUUGUACAGCUAUUCGAGAGGUGUAUCAAUAUAUGCAUGAAACGAUAACUGUUAAUGGCUGUCCUGAAUUCCGUGCGAGGGCAACAGCAAAGGUAUUCUCGUGUGUACACUGUAAGAGAAUUUAGACAUCAGUGGCAGCCCAGAGUCUAGAACCAGUACUACUUCUCAGGCAACAGUUGCAGCUUUUGCAGCUAGCGAAGGCCACUCCCACCCUCGAGUAGUUGAACUGCCAAAGACUGAUGAAGGCCUUGGUUUUAACGUGAUGGGAGGAAAAGAGCAAAAUUCCCCCAUUUAUAUCUCUCGCAUCAUUCCUGGAGGGGUCGCUGAAAGACACGGAGGCCUCAAAAGAGGAGACCAGCUGCUAUCAGUGAACGGAGUGAGUGUGGAAGGAGAACACCAUGAGAAAGCUGUGGAACUACUCAAGGCUGCUAAAGACAGCGUCAAGCUGGUAGUGCGAUACACCCCAAAAGUUCUGGAAGAAAUGGAGGCUCGCUUUGAAAAGCUACGAACAGCCAGGCGUCGGCAGCAGCAGCAAUUGCUAAUUCAGCAGCAGCAACAGCAGCAGCAGCAACAAACACAACAAAAUCACAUGUCAUAGGCCCUUGAGGGAAAGCUACUUGAUCAAACAUCCUAUAGUCACAAAUUUGAAAUCGUGCUUCAGAAUCCCAGCACAUAGUAAAAGACAACACAGAUAAUUAUACCUGUCAAGAAGCUGUGAACACAUGGUGUAUAAAUUCUUUACCAAGGCAACUCGACACCUUCUUUCUCUGGGCUUGAACCGCCACUGCUCACGUGGGCUUUACAUACAUUGACCUUCCAUUCACGGCAGUGGGAAUUCUCAGUGUGCAGAGGGAGAGGUUUUCUAGUCUGCAAACUGAAACAGUGUAAGAAGAAUAAAGUCUGUGACUUUUAAAUAAAUCACCAGGGCCAAGAUUGAGUGAAUCUUGGGUCCAUAGCUUUUCCAGAUAUUAGCAAACCCCUCAUUAGGCUAUAAUUCAAACUGCAUCAGUUCAAAGGGUGUUGCCACGUAACAGAAACCUACACAUUGCCCCUUACCCUGACCUGCUCCACAAUCCAUAGUGCUGAGUUGUCUGAAUUGGAAUUCCAGUUAAUUGCAAGUUCAACCUCUGUUUUCCUCUUGAAAAUCGCAAGGUAUCAUAGUAUAUUUAUAUUUUCUUCAGGUUCUAGAAGCAGUCGGAUUUUUAUUUUGUUUCCACGAAUUUUAUUAUGCAUUAAUAGAAUGGACCAAUUUUAGCUCAACUUUCAGUUUGUUAGAAGCAAGGGUAGGAACUCUAGCACUGUAGUUUUUGAUCUAAUUAUUGCUUGUAUCUAUUAUUAUUAAUUCCAACAGAAUAUAAUGUAUAUUUAUUCUACAAAAUAUAUAUUAUCAGAGUGCAUUUGUUACAACUUAGGUUCCUUUCUUACCAAGUGUUAAGAAUCUAGUAAGAGAAUACUAGCAAAGGACCUAGCCCCGUGAACAGAUUCUCAUAUGUUAUAUACAUAACCCUACUCUCAAUAUUUUUUGUUGAGUUUUAUACUUUUUGAUUGAUAAACAUUGAAGAAAUCUAAACUCUACUGACACUGAUGUGCUGUCAUGGAAGCCUAUUUCGUAUUUUAAAACUUAGCAAAACUAAAUUAUAUGUGCAUAUAUAUUCAAAUAUUUAUGUCACACAAAGUUUAGGUCAAUUUCCCCAAAUAUAAACUAGAUAUUUUUGGCACUCUAACAUAAACAAAUAUUAUUUCUCUUAUAAUUGGGCAGAUGGAAACCAGUGAUAUCAAUAUUGUGAAUGGCAGAUGCUGCUUCCUCUAUAGAGAAAAAAAAAAAAAACCACCUACUUUGUUAAUAUAUUCCCAUAGGUAAAUAGACAGUGAGAUACCAUCUUCCAGAAAAUAUCAUUCCCUAGAAAAUAAUCUGUUAGAACUACCUUUACAGGUCAUAAUUUUUGGUUUAUGGUAAAUCUAGGCACCUAAGUCUGAUCUUUAUGAAAUAAAUAGGAAGCAAUAAUUAUUUGAGCAUUUGAAUACCUUAAGCACAGAAAUGUAUCUGAGAAAAGGAUAAUUGCUUAGUUGAAGUAUUCAAAAUAGAUCAGGAAACCAGAGGCAAAUAUUUGAAUAUUCCUUAUUCUCAAAUACAGAAAUUGAUUCCCCAAGAUACAAUACAAUUGGACACUUCAGAUAAUCCCCCAAAAUAGAAAUGUAUGAAGCUCAGUUUAGACUGUCUUCUUGUAAAUAAAACAAAACCAAUCAAAACUACCCAGCACAUUUUAUUAUGCCCUGUUGGGUGAUAGUAUUGUCAAUACCAGGUUUUCCCUGCUCUUCACAAUGCAUCCCUCACCAGAGGAAAAACAGCAAGGAAACUAGGACGUUCGCUAAUUUCAACAAUGCCCCGCUGUGGUAACAGAUUCCCAUCCUUGAAUACAUAUCAUUUUUUACUAGAGACAACGGGGGUGGUGGGGUGGGGUCAGUGAGGACCCUGAAUGUUAUGUAAAAUAGAUUUACAAAAUAGACAAGCAUGAUAAAAGGGAAUGAAUGGAGACGAUGUAUUAUUCAGUUUGAAAGAGAUCACAUUUUUAUAAGAAAAAUUUAAUAAAACAUAUAUUUUAGUUAUCAUUUAACAAAGAUAUAUUAAAGCUAUUCAGGCAAUGCCACAGGAUUCUCAUAAAGGGAAAUCAUUGAACCCUUGCCAUGAGAAAAUGGUUAUUUCAACACAUUUCAAUACAUUGUAUAAAUUUGGAGCUUAAGGUGAGUGAGUAUGUUUUCACUUAGUCAUAAGUGUUUGUUCAAUAUUAAAGUUAUCAUAUGGUUUCACAUCAAUACAAAUAUUGUCACAGUGUUACAGAAACAACUAUCAAGUGGUAAGAUAGCUUACAUUUGUGUUUUCUAGAAGCCUUUGUAUUUACGCUUCAUUUGCUUAAUGCUAAGUGUUGAUAAAGGUAUGCCAGAUUGUUUGUCAAAGUAAAGAGGCAAUCCAUCACACCUAGGACUUCUAAGGACGGAUUAUACUUCAGAGUGGUCUCAUAUACAAAUGACCAUUUUCCUUCAGUAAAAUCUUAUUGGUUGAAAUGUAAGCCUUUUCCUAAAGCUUUAAUCAGAAGUAGCGAUCACUAAGACUUAAGCCACUUGUGGUUCUCCUAAGUUUCACUGAAACCAGAAGAAGAGGGAAAAAAUUACCACAACUUGUGUUAUACUAAUUAUCUUCAUUAUUAAUGAUCAUAUUAGAGCCACUGACAUGUCCCAGAUUAUAUUAAACUAAAAACCUGCAUUGCUCUGACAUGAAGCUCAAUUCAAUGUAAUAAACAAAUUAGGUAUUAAAAGUCAAAAAUAAAAAAAAAAAACUGCUACGAUAUCACCAGAAAUCCUGGUGAAAUUUAAUUUUUUCCCUUUUUUAGGUCAGUGGUCAGUGGGAUAGAUUUUUCUAAACUUUUUCCUGCUAUGAUUUUGAAGACAAAUACAUGGAGUAUAGUUCAGUAAAAGAGAGCUUUCAAGCCUUUUCACUGGAGCAUUUGCAUUUUGAUUCUGUUGUCAUUUGAAACAGAACAUCUGCAGGGAGAUAAUGAGCUUAAGUUACAAUUGACUUUGGAAAGAAUAACAGACUUGUGUUUCCUCAAUCAUGUAGUCAAUAGGGAAUUCUCCAGUUAUGUGAACAAUCACAAUCUUUUAAGACAAUACUUAGAUCUAAAUGCAAAAUCUAGCAUGCAUAGGCUUUUUAAGGAUUUUAGGCUGUCUCCAAAGAACUUGGCUCGAGAUGGAUUACACAAUUUACAAAUGCAGUUUUCAACUGUGACAUCAAACUGAUCUUAUCUCAUUUCCUGUUACUCAACUGUGCCUGUAGGACUCCAAGAGGUGAAAUAUUUUGUCUACAUUAUUUUAAACAUCUAUAGAUAUGUGUGGAUGUGUGAAUAAUGCCAGAAUUUCUCAUCUUUUAGCUAGUUUGUUUUUAUCAUACAGACACAGCCUGUUCAUAAGACCAGCUUUAGACAACAUAGAACUCAAUGCUCUGAAGAUUCAGGGAGGCCAACAUGGAAAAGAUCUUCCAAAAUACGGGGUGACCUGACCCAUCUCAUCCCUCUCUAGCUGGAAACCUCUAUAGAGAAAGGGCUGUGACUGCCUUGACCUCUGUCUGGCACAACGUAGGUACUCAGUAUUUGUUGGAUGAAUAAAUGACUGAAUUAAUGAAUAGACAAAAAAAUGGAUUUUACCUUCUGAAAAUCUCACAGAUUUUACCAGCUUAUAUUAUACUGAUUGUCACUAUGAUUUCUAAAUUUCAUGGUUGGAACCAUAACUGAGUCUUUAUAAAAACUUUUUAGAUGUAUGAAUUUGGAAUUUCAUUAAUUAAAGACUUCAAAGAUUUGAGGACAUUUGAACAGUGGAUAAGGAACAAUGUUUGGGGAUACAGAGUUUUUACACUGAGUUGAACCCAACCUUUCUAGUUCUUUAUAUAAGCUUUCUGAAUUUUCUGGCAGGAAUGAUUCAAACAUAAAGCCCCAUUUUUAAAUUUUAUAAAAGAUGUUGUCAUUUUUAUAUAAAAAGAUCAUUAUGCAUAUUAUCCCUUUGAUAUUUAUUAACAACCGUUCUCUAAGAAAUUCAUAAUAAUUGGAGACACCAUCCCUAAAUCUCUUCCUACUUUCAAAAGAUCACUUAUCCUUUCAUAUUUGAUUCCUAGAAUAUACUAAGCUGAAGUUUAAUCACACACUUAUUCAGAUGUUUCCCUGUGUUUAUUCAUUUAACAAAUAUGUAUUGUGUACCUAGUGCAUGCUAGGUUCUGGAAAUGCAACAGCAAACAAAACAGACACAAUCCCUUGUGGAGUUUACUGUGAGAAACUCUCCCACAUUUACCCUAGCAAUAACUAGAGAGUUUACUGUCCACUGGGUCCUCUUCACACCUGAUAGAGAAAAUAAAAUUCCUCACCCCAUGGAAAUCAUGAAAUACUCCCUGCACGGAUUUAUGUGAGCUUGCUUUUAUAAAAACACUGCUCGAAAAUGCUGCUUAGUUUAUCUAUAAACCACAGUUAUACCCCGGUGAGGUAGGUAAGUAAUUUAUUAAUAACUAACAUUUAUGCAGCUCUAUUUUCUAGCUACUGUGCUGAGUGCUUUUAUGGACUAUCUCAUUAAAUCCCUUCAACAACUCUAUUCAGUAGGUUCCAUUUUAUAGAUUAAAAAAACUGAAGCACAGAUAUAUUAUGUGACUUGUCCAAGGCCACACAGCUAGCAGGUGGAACCGGGAUUUGAACCCACGCAGUCUGACACAAGAGCUCAUGUGUCUAAUCAUUAUCUGUGGUUUGGGGGGACACCAUUACACUGAAAUGAAUGAGUCACUAAGUGAGUCACUGUAUAUAAAAUACUUGGAAAUUGUAAAGUAAUAUACAAAAGAUAUUAAUGAAGUAUUAUUCAUGGUAAACAAAUCACAUCAGUAGCAAAUACAGGGUGAGAACUCAAUCUUAUGUUAUAGUUCUUAAGAAGAAUAUGUGAAGCCAGGAACAUGGUUAAAGGUAUAGAUCAGAAAAUUUCUGACAUGUGAUAAAUAUUUCAGUGACUUUUCAGAUUUAUUUCUUGUUAGCCACUGUGUCUAUUUGGUGCUACAAAAACUGAAAGAAACAAAAUCCCUGAUAUAAGGGCUUAUAACAAAUACACAGUUUGGAGAUGAACUAAGGAUAUUUUACAUUUAUGGGGAAGGAUUGGACAAUAGUAUCAUUUUCUCACCACUUGCAUGUACAUCAUGUCUUUCCAAUUGUUUUCAUUAUUUUUCUGAAAAAGCUGCAAAAUUGUGCAGUGGUUCAACCUGACCAAAGUGGUAUUAUGCUGCUGGGAAGUAAAAGUAUUAGACACCAAA
Non-coding RNA from Macaca mulatta (Rhesus monkey), 6269 nucleotides. The record is from RefSeq and is a predicted model, not a curated record. Lineage: Eukaryota; Metazoa; Chordata; Mammalia; Primates; Cercopithecidae.